This 495-nucleotide ribosomal RNA is filed under the name uncultured bacterium. RNAcentral describes it as "bacterial SSU rRNA". It matches the Rfam family "Bacterial small subunit ribosomal RNA", at positions 899 to 1397 of the family's 1533-position model. The record is from RNAcentral.
ACUCAAAUGAAUAGACGGGGGCCCGCACAAGCAGUGGAUUAUGUGGUUUAAUUCGAAGCAACGCGAAGAACCUUACCAGGCCUUGACAUCCCGCCAACGAGGCAGAGAUGCGUCAGGUGCCCCUCGGGGAGGGCGGAGACAGGUGGUGCAUGGUUGUCGUCAGCUCGUGUCGUGAGAUGUUGGGUUAAGUCCCGCAACGAGCGCAACCCCUAUUGCUAGUUGCUACGCGAGAGCACUCUAGCGAGACUGCCGUUGACAAAACGGAGGAAGGCGGGGACGACGUCAAAUCAUCAUGCCCCUUAUGGCCUGGGCUACACACGUAAUACAAUGGCGCCCAACAGAGGGAAGCGAAGCCGCGAGGCGGAGCGAAUCCCGAAAAGGCGUCCCAGUUCGGAUCGCAGGCUGCAACCCGCCUGCGUGAAGUCGGAAUUGCUAGUAAUCGCGGAUCAGCAAGCCGCGGUGAAUACGUUCCCGGGCCUUGUACACACCGCCCGU